RNAcentral lists this ribosomal RNA (823 nucleotides) under uncultured euryarchaeote. RNAcentral's name for it is "bacterial SSU rRNA". It matches the Rfam family "Archaeal small subunit ribosomal RNA", at positions 83 to 903 of the family's 1478-position model. The record is from RNAcentral. Lineage: Archaea; Methanobacteriati; Methanobacteriota.
GACUGCUCAGUAACACGUAGCUAACCUACCCUUGGGACGGGGACAACCUCGGGAAACUGAGGCUAAUCCCCGAUAGGUGAGGGACGCUGGGAUGCCUCCUCGCCCAAAGCUCCGGCGCCCAAGGAUGGGACUGCGGUCUAUCAGGCUGUUGGUGGUGUAACGGACCACCAAACCUACGACGGGUACGGGCGAUGGGAGUCGGAGCCCGGAGAUGGGGACUGAGACAAGGCCCCAGGCCCUACGGGGCGCAGCAGGCGCGAAAACUCCGCAAUGCGCGCAAGCGUGACGGGGGGGAUCCCAAGUGCCGUUGGUCUUUUGAUCGACGGUUUUUAGGAAGUCUAAGAAGCUUCCAGAAUAAGGGCUGGGCAAGACUGGUGCCAGCCGCCGCGGUAACACCAGCAGCCCGAGUGGUGGCCACGAUUAUUGGGCCUAAAGCGCUCGUAGCCGGAUCAGCAAGUCCCUUGUGAAAUCGGGCCGCCUAACGGUUCGGCGUGCAAGGGAUACUGUUGGUCUUGAGGCCGGGAGAGGUCGGAGGUACUCCUGGGGUAGCGGUGAAAUGCUCUAAUCCUAGGGGGACCACCAGUGGCGAAGGCGUCCGACCAGAACGGACCUGACGGUGAGGGGCGAAGGCUAGGGGAGCGAACGGGAUUAGAUACCCCGGUAGUCCUAGCUGUAAAGCAUGCGGGCCAGGUGUCUAGCGCUCCUUGAGGGCACUAGGUGCCGGAGGGAAGCCGCUAAGCCCGCCGCCUGGGAAGUACGGCCGCAAGGCUGAAACUUAAAGAAAUUGGCGGGGGAGCACCACAAGAGGUGGGACCUGCGGUUC